RNAcentral lists this small RNA (32 nucleotides) under Bombyx mori (domestic silkworm). RNAcentral describes it as "ovarian small RNA-28288". Lineage: Eukaryota; Metazoa; Arthropoda; Insecta; Lepidoptera; Bombycidae. The record is from RNAcentral.
UCGACCAACACCUCCCAACCGCAGACGCGGCA